AAUAAAAAAAUAAAAAAAAUUGCCAUUUAUAUAUAUAUAUAUAUAUAUAUAUAUAUAAUCCUAAAAAGAAUGGAAAUAAACGAGUUGCAUUAUUUUAAUCAAAGUUGGUGCCUUGAAUAUUCCAAAACGUAAUUUCCAAUUGGAAAUUGAAGUAGAAUUUGUAUGUAUGUAUCAAUGCAUGUUAUAUAACCAAUGAAAGGCACCAAUUGGUCAAUGAAUACUAACCAACCUGUUGAAAGAUAAAAUUGAAUUGAUGAAUGGAUGCAUGAUCAUUAUAAAAAUAUUAAUAAUAACAAUAAUAAUGUAAACAAUGGAAGAAAAUUAAGAACCAGCACAAGAAGAUAUAUAUAUAUAUAUAUAUAUAAAUAUAAAUUGAUGAAAUUAGAGUUUUAAAUCCUACAAAGGCUACUAUCAAGUAUCUUUCACAUGGUUACAACGAUAAAUUUAAUUUAAGCUCCGCUCAGAGAAAUGUUUCUAAAAAUUAUAGUAAUUCCUCAUACAUUUCCACAGGGACUUCACCAAAGUUGGGUUUUGUAUGUGCCAAACAGCCAUAAAAAUCCUCCCUUUCGACUCCUCAGUUUGUUUUUUUUUGUUUCGUGUUUUUGUUUUGUUUUGUUUUGUUUUUUUGUAUUUUUUGUAUUUUUUUUUGUUUUUGUUUUGUUUUGUUUUUUUUUUUGUUUUUUUGUUUUUGUUUUUGUUUUUUUUUUGUUUACAAUUGCUGGGGUGUUUUUCCAUUGAUUUUUUUACCCACUUUUUUAUAAAAUUUCAUGCUUUAUUUAUCUUUAUUUGUAUAUACAUACAAUUUUGUUAAGGAUUCAUCACUUUAACAUAUUACUUCAAGAAAAAGGUAGAUGUUUAUUCUUCAAAUUUUGACAUUCAUCAUUUUCAAAAAUUAUAACCUAACAGAAAUUUGAAUGGUAAAAGUGUUUGGUCACCUUUAAGUAUUAUAUUCUUAUUAUAAAUAUACGUUUAAAUAUAUUUAUAAAUAUAAAUAAAACAAAUAUAUAUACAUAUAUAUAUAUAUAUAUAUAUAUAUAUUAAAACCACAACAUUUGAACCAAGAGAAUGUAAAGUUAGAAAUGUCAAGGUUUCCAGAGUUUGUAUUUAAGGUUAAGUCACAGUGGUUGUUUUUGUAUAAUGAAAUAACACCCAACUAAUCAGAACAUGGUUUUCCUUAGAAAUCUUUCAAAACAUUUCAUGCAUUGGAAAGAUUUCGAAGGAAAAUAACACAAAUGAAUGCGCUUGAAACAAGAUUGAACUAUUAUAUGGAAUACAAGUUUCAAUAUAGUACAAAAUUAUAAAUUUCUGUACGUGAAAUAAAAAUUCGGACAAGGUAAAAUCAAUAUCAUAAGGGACACUGCAUAAAUUAGUUGAAAUUAACAACGGUUAUUUUAAAAAAUAAAAUAUCAAUAUUUAUUAACAUGCAUGUAGAAGAUAAUUUUUAUGUGAAUACAUGUGAAUACAUUACUUAUAGAGAUUAAAAUAUACCUUUUAAAAUCGUAUUAAAUGUAACCUGUUUGUUUGAAAGUAAAUUCAUACACCGAAAAAUCUUGAUUUUUUUACACAAACAUGCAAAUUACUGAAUUGCAGGAUGAAGACCUGAAUAAUUUGAAUAAAAAGGCGAACUUAUUUGAAAAUGUCCUUAUAGAAUAAAAUUUCAGAACUUUUAAAUUAUGUGUUUUUUCUUGUGAGGAAUGUUUUUAAUGGCUGAUUUCUCUGAUAUGAGUUUCAUCGACUGAUUACUUCCAUAGCAUUAAACUUCAAUUUCAAUAGGUAUCUGUCGUUUUUUACAGUAAUAUGAGAUAUUAAUUAAAUUAUUGAUUUAGUAUGAUCCAAUAAUUUAGAUUGAUUUUCCAAAUAACUAUUAAUAAAAAUGUAAGUACAACAAGUGCACAGACAAAAUUAAAAAAACAUUAUAAUGCAGUAUUAUUUUGGUUGUUAUACACUUAAUUUAAUACAUUGUCAUAAAAUGGAUACAAUGUAUUUUUUUGGAAAGUUUGUUAAAAAAUUUUAAAAAUGAAAA
RNAcentral lists this long non-coding RNA (2023 nucleotides) under Physcomitrium patens. RNAcentral describes it as "long non-coding RNA (PPAT_LNC003349)". The record is from RNAcentral. Lineage: Eukaryota; Viridiplantae; Streptophyta; Bryopsida; Funariales; Funariaceae.